AUGGACAUACAAUACAUCAUAGAAAAAGAAUGCCGAACAAACAAAAGAGGCCAGAGCCAGCAACGCCCAUCAAACCACCGCCUAUUUCUCAAAGGAAAAACUCUCUGCCCUCAGCCAUCCAAUCAGAAGCAGCAGCGAUCCAUCUACUGCAUCAUCGCCGCCGCGAGAAGGGACACCAGUGCCGAGGAGACCAGGGCCAAAGCGGACACGCUGGCGGCCGCGCCGGCGUCAGGGGCCGGAGCGGGGGCCGAGGAAGGCGCCAUGAAGUCCUGCGCCGAGGCAGAGGCGAAGAAGACGGCCACGGCCAGGAGCAGCACGGCGACGCGUGGAGCCAUCACGACCUUGCGCUGUAGCUUGCGAGUAGAUCGGAGAAUCGGCGAGGAGGGGAGUGAGCAAUAUGGGGGCGCCGAGGUGGGAUGCGAGGGAAUGAGGGAUGGAUGGGGCGCCGUGGGGUUUAUAUAG
RNAcentral lists this ribosomal RNA (462 nucleotides) under Triticum aestivum (bread wheat). RNAcentral describes it as "partial small subunit ribosomal RNA". Lineage: Eukaryota; Viridiplantae; Streptophyta; Magnoliopsida; Poales; Poaceae. The record is from RNAcentral.